GGCCAGCGGCAGGAACGCCUCCUGCCCCCGCGACCUCUGACAUUUCCUAACCAAAAACGAGUACUUCCGGGGCUUACGCCCAGCCACCCCGACUAAGGGAGAAAAGUGGACCAGAGCCGACGUGAGACUACAAAUCCCAGAGGGCCCUGCUCUUGUUUCCGGGAAGGAGAUCCAGAAUGAUUUGCUCGGUGGGAUUGGUAGUCUGGAUUUUCCACCCACACAGCCGGCUUCCAAUUUUCCGAGUACAAUGCUGAGAGAAGUUUGACGUUUGUGUAACAUUUUAGAGAUUGCCGUGUACUUGCACAAACAACACCUUACUACAUGGUUUAUAACAACCCUCUGAGUGACCACGAAGUGUGCGGUCCGUGGAGUUCGUGGGAGCUCAAAGAAGUCUUCAUUCUAAAAUCCAUAGACAAGAAUCCUGUGUCCCUGUCCCAAGUUCUGAUAAAAGGAGAGAGAAAGGAGAGGAGAGAGACCUUACUAUCACCAGGAAAGAAGAGCCAGGAGUACAGCGCAUCCUUUGGACCCGGGGUCCCUGUGCUGAGAACCUCUUAGACACAGGGGAAGAUUGAUGCCAAGACGCAUAGAGAUCUCCAAGGAACAUCAGGCCCACUGAUACCGAGAGGAGACAAGGACCUUCCCCCAAAGCCAACAGAAGAAAAAGACUUCCCCUAGAGUUGGCGCCUGAAUUUGGUCUUCUAGUCUCCUAAACUGUGAGAGAAUAAAUCUCUCUUUGUUAAAGCCAACCAAUUGUGGUAUUUUUGUUAUAGCAGCACUAGAUAACUAAGACAGUCUACUUUUGGACUGGCAGUCCAGGUGGGCCAUAUUCUAGGUAAUUUCUUAGGCUCAAUCUUCCAAUUCUGGAGACCCUAAGUAGCACAAACCAUUAGUGUGCUUGGCUUCUAACAAAAAAGUUGGUGGUUUGAACCCAUCCAGAGGUGCCUUGAAAGAAAGUUCUGGCAAACUACUUCCAAAAAAAUCAGCCACUGAAAACUUCUGAAAAAUCAGUUCUACUCUGAUGCACGUGGGGUCACCAUGAGUCAAAACUGACUUGAUGGCAACUGGUUUGGUUUGGGUUUUUUAUCUUCAAAGUCAGUAAUCUUUCUUCUGCUGUGUCUAAUCUACUGGUCUAACCCAUCCACUGAGUUCUUUUUUUGUUUUCCCCUUGAGUUCUUUAUUUCAGUUUUUCUUUUCUAGAAGUUCUGCAUCUUUUAAAAUCCACCAGGUUAGUCUUGAUAGUCUCUUGCUGCUUGCUCAUUUUUUUGAUCCCAUCUUUUGGAUCACAAAUAUUUCGUUCUCUCAGCAAAUAUUUGUUGAACACCUAUUAUGUUCUAUUUUGUUUUAAUACCUUAUAUCCAAAGCAAGUGUAGGCAAACUAUGGUUCCUGGCCAAUCUGGCCCACUGUCUGUUUUUGUAAUUAAAGUUUUAUUCGAACACAGCCACACCCAUUGAUGUACAUAUUGUCUAGGCUGCUUUCACACUGCAAAAGCAGCGUAAAGUCUAAUAUAUUUACUGUCUGGCUGUUUACAGAAGAAGUUUGCUGACCUUUGAUAUAUAGAGAUAUGCACAGGAACUAAUAACAAAACCGAAAUGGGUACGAACAUAUACUGUUGGGGGCCAGUGCAGUUUGGUACGAUGUUAAUAGAGAACCGUACUGGCUUUCCAUCCAGUAGCUAAUUCUGACAGCUUAGCUUAAGGAAACAACCAGAGAGGUAUACGAAGAGUUGUGUCCUGGGCUGUUAAUGAAAACAUUAUUCAUAAUAGCAAAAAAUUGAAAGCAAUCAACACGUCCAAAAAUGAGGUAUUAAGUAGGUAAUAGUACAUUCAUAGAAAUGUAUGUAAAGAUAUGCAAGCAAAAAAAAAAUCUUGUUUUUGAAUAAUUAUUAACAGUCUGAAAAUGCAGCUCAUAAACAGUAUAUUCAGUAUAAUCACAAUUCUUUAAAAUUAUAGACAGAAAAUAUAACCAUCACUAAAAGCAGUUAUUACUGGGUAGUAGAAUUAAAGGUGAUUUUUAGGGUUUUUUUUCCUGUAUUUUUUAUGUUCAAAUCAGAAAGUUACUUUAAAAACUUUUGAUCUUGAAAUGAUUAUAGAAUCACAGAAAGUUGGAAACAGAGGUCCAAUGUUCUCUUCACCCAGUUUUCCUCAAUGGUUACAUCUUCUGGAAGUAUAGUGCAAUAUCAAAACCAGGACACUUACAUUGGUACAAUACGCAGUGUGUUCUGUCAUUUUAUCACAUGUAUAUAUUUGUGUAACCACCACUCUUCAGGUACUUUAGUGCCCUUGGGUCCCUCUUUGGAUCUUCUUGGUGAGACAGCACUUAACUUCUUGCACCCUUGUAGCAUAAGACCCAUCCCAUGAAGUUCCUGUAUUCAUUUCCUUCAUCCAUCUUAGAGGUCCCUAUGGUUACUCUUACCAUUGUUCUUUGAGUAAUGUUCUAUGAGUAAGGACACUUCUUUGUGAAGUGGCCAAAUUUAAUAUUUUUCAGUCCCUAUUUCUUCUGGAUUGCUCUUCUGCAUUUGACAGUGUUGGAUACUCAGACUUUACACUUUCUAAUUCUUUGGCUUUUGUCACACUUCAUUCUCUUGGUUCUCUUUAUACCCCUCUGACCAUUCCUUGUUAUUUCGCAGCCGUUCAUUCUGUCCAUCCCUUAAACACUCCAGUUUGCCAUGUAUGCACCUUUCUUCACCAUCUAUACUACCAUAGUGUCAUGGACUGAAUUAUGUUCCCCAAAAAAAUGUGUGCAUUGAUUUGGCUGGGCCAUGAUUCCCUGUAUCAUGCGGUUGUCCUCUAAUUUGUGAUUAUAAUUUUACAUUAAAGAGGAAUUCGGGUGGGAUUGUAACACAACCCUUACCCAGGUCACAUCCCUGAUCGAAAGUAAAGGGAGUUUCCCUGGGGCGUGGCCUGCACCACCUUUUACUUCUCAAGAGAUAAAAAGGAAAGGGAAGCAAGCAGAGAGUUGGGGAAGCUCAUACCACCAAGAAAGCAGCCCAAGAGCAGAGUGUCUUUUGGACCUGAGGUUCCUGCUCUCAGAUGCUCCCAGACCAAGACUGAUGACAGGGACCUUCCUCCAAAGCUGUCAGAGAAAGCCUUCCCCUGGAGCUGGUGCCCUGAAUUUGGAAUUCUAGCCUACUAGACUGUGAGAGAAUAAAAUUCUGUUUGUUAAAGCCAUCCACUUGUGUUAUUUCUGUUAUAGCAACACCAGAUGACCAAGACACAUAGUCACAACUGGGUUUUCAAUAUCUCUUAACAAAAAUGUUGGGCUGGCCUCUAAAUCAGCCUCUUUGGUUCUUUUAUACCCCUUUCAGUAGACAUUGCAGCUGUCUUCCUCAUAUCAGGUCCACUCUACUCAACUGCACACUACCUGGGAUUUGAUCUUAGUGUCAGGAGUGGCCACUAACUGGGUUGGGCUAAAUCAUGGAGGCCUUAUUCCCUUGCAAUUGGUUAAGGAACUUGAGCCUAAGUGAUUCAGGAUCUGGCAUUGCCUUGGCUACAGGGUUUGGUUCAGAAAUGGGCACAUCACCCAAUUUGGAUCAAUGAGAUAGGGGAAUUUGUUAGAGGCACCUCAGCCUAUUAAGUGCUGUGAUGCUUAAGAUUGUGUCAGCUUGGCUGGGCCAUGAUUCUCAGUAUUUUGGCAGUUGUGUAAUGUUGUAGUCACUUCCCUAUUGAAAUUUGAUACAUGAUCACCACCAUGAUGGGAUCUCCUGUGAGUAGCCAAUCAGUUAAAAGGGAGUUUCCUUGGCCAUGUGGCCUUCAUCAAGUGUGGGCAGACAUUGAGGCAGGGCUGACGGGCUUUUGCUGGUUCUGGAUCCUAGCAGCUAGCUCCUUUUUGUCUGACUUCCAGUCCUUGGGACUUGAGCUAGCAGCUUACCUGCAGUCUUUCCUGCUGAUCUCAGGAUUCGUCAAUCUUCACAGCCUGUGAGCAACAGUCUUGCUCUCCAGCCUGCCAAUCUUGGGUUCGCCAGCCCCUGCAGCUACGUAAAUCAGGAGAAGCCUCUUUCCAGACCAAUAAACUUGGAACGUUCCAGCCUCUACAACCUCGUGAACCAUUUCCUUGAUAUAAAUCUCUCUUUAUAUAUAUAUAUUUAUAUGCUACACUGGUUUUGCUUCUCUAGAGAACCCAGCCUAAGACAAGGGCAGUGAAGGUUCACAACUUUUUGUUCCUCUAAAUGUUAUUAUGUGUGAAUGUGAAGGCCAGAUUUACUACGGCCGCCGUCUUUCCACCUGUCAGAAGAUGAAACUGACACAUGGACGAAAGCAGAGAAAUGGAGCUGAGCCACUGGAUUAAGCCAGCCUUGAAAUCCACCCAAGAUCUAGGUUGCUAGGUAUAUAAAUCAACUUUUAUUCACUGUUUAAGACAAUCUGUGCUGAUUUUUCUGUUAUUGGAAGCUGACAGCAUCCAGAUAUACAUUUAAAUCCAUCCUAACAUGGCUGCAAAAAUUAUAUAUAUGCCACCUUGUCAACAUCCCCACUGCCUACAGGAUAAAGUCCAGACUCCUCGAAAUGACAUAAAUCUUUCUCUUUGUCUAUAUUCUGUGCCUAACUAGCUCCUUGAAGAAAGAAAAUAGGUCUUAAUCACCUCUCUAUUCUCAAAGUCUGGCAAAAUGCUGACAUACAGUUGAGUGGCAUUAAAGAUGCCUUGCUAGAAGUAUGAAUCUAUCAGGCAAUAAAUCUGUGAUUUAGGGCUCUAAACCCAGAAGUCCCGACCUUCUCAGGGCUCAAGUCUACCUUGUUUGAGUGGAGAAAGUAUAUAUAAGAUGCUACUGUUUUUUGUUUUUUUAAAGAAAUGAGGGUGAGUACAUACAUAUGUACUUGCUUAUUAUGAGGAAAGAAGAGUGGAAGGAUAACAUUAGAACAUAUAAAAUGGUAUCUAUGAGGGAACGGAGGAAAUAGAGGAGACGGAGAGAAAUUAGAAUCUUUUAAAAAUACCUUGUUUUGUAGAUUUGAUUUUGGAAUGAUAUACGUAUUCGUGUAAUUAUAAAAAAAAUAAUUUCUUAAAAAAGUAAUCCCUGAUACUCAAAGUAAAAUAAAUUAACUAUCCAGUUAGUACACACAAAAGAACUAUUACAAGAGACAUAAACAGUAAUUUGUCUGGCCAUACCUAGUGGGAGAGAUCUUAAAAAAGUUAAAAAGAAUUGCAAAAACAAAAACUUCAAAGCAAAAAACAACAAAAAAAAAACCCAAACAAACCAUAAACUUACUAUCCUUAAUUGCAGUUUUGGUAUUAUUAUUCUUAGACUUUAUUUGUAAUUACAUUGGUAUCAUGGAGAAGCAAAAUUUUCUCACAAGUGAACACAAAUUUUAAGAUUUAUGAGGUUAGUAAAAAAUCUUGCAGCCCUGAUUUGGAUGUGAAGUAUCAGUAUGAAUACCAGAUGCACUUUUUAUAAAGUUUUAUUGAGAUAUAAUUCACACACCAUACAAGUCAUCCAUAUAAAGUGUACGAUGUGAUGGCUUUAAAAAAUCAUAUUCAGAGUUGUGCAACUACCAUCACAAUCAAUUUUAGAACAUUUUCAUCACUCUAGAAAGGAGCUGUCUACUCAUUAGCAGUCACUCCCCCUUCCUCCCUCCCCCAAUCCUUGGAAACAACUAAUCUUUUUUUCUUGGCUCCAUGGAUUUGCCUAUUCUGAACAUUCACAUAAAUGGAAUCAUACAAUAUGUGCUCUUUUGUGACUGGCUUCCAUCACUUAGCUUAAUGUUUUCAAGGUUCAACAAUUUUGUAGCAUGUAUCAGUAUUUCAUUGAUUUUCAUUACCAAAUAUGUCCUUGUAUGGAUACAGGAUAGAUAUGAGUCAGAAUUGACUCCAUAGCAGUGGGUUGGGGUUUGGUUUGUAUGGACAUAACACAUUUUGUUUAUCCAUUUAUCAGUUGAUGGACAUUUGGGUUGAAUUCUACAUUUUGGUCAUGUACAGGUUUUUGUGUGGAUGCUUUUACUUUUCUUGGAUAUAUAGCUGCCUAGGAGGUGAAUUGCUGGGUCAUGUAACUUUGUUUUUCCUUUUGAUGAAUUACCAGACUCUUUUCCAAAGUCCUACAACAUUUUGUAUUUCCACCAACAGUGUAUGAAAGUUCUAAUUUUCUUACAUCCUUACUGCACUUUUUGACUUGAAUUUCCCUAUAGGGUUGCUGUGAGUUGGAAUCGACUCAACAGCAAUUUUUUCUUUUUUUUAUGAUCAGUGAGGUUGAGCAUCUUUUCAUAUACUCGCUGUCCAUUUGUAUAUCCUCUUUGGGAAAUGUCUAUUCAGAUAUGUAAAAAAUGGCCCUGGGGUGUUGGACAUCCUUGUCUAACUUCUCAAGGGGAAGGAGAGAGAUUCAAGGUCAACAUCAGUUCAAGGCUGACCUCUGUGAGGUGGAGGUGAGACAUACCUCCUCUCUCCAGCCCUUUUACCUAUUC
Loxodonta africana (African savanna elephant) is the source of this 6384-nucleotide long non-coding RNA. RefSeq lists it as uncharacterized. Lineage: Eukaryota; Metazoa; Chordata; Mammalia; Proboscidea; Elephantidae. The transcript has 3 exons. The record is from RefSeq and is a predicted model, not a curated record.